UGGUACCAGUACGGUAGGAAAAUCCGCCGUGCAAUGGGAAGACGUGAUGUGGAGUGAAAUAUAGUAACGAAGCCCGUGAGCCAUGCGUCAAGAAAAGCCGCUAUUGUUUAUACUGUACCCGUACCGUAAACCGACACAGGUGGAUGAGGAGAGAAUCCUAAGGCCGGCGGAAGAAGUAUUGCCAAGGAACUCGGCAAAAUGGCCCCGUAACUUAGGGAGAAGGGGUGCCUGCGAGAGCAGGCCGCAGAGAAUGGGCUCAAGCAACUGUUUAGCAAAAACACAGGUCUAUGCGAAACCGAAAGGUGAGGUAUAUGGGCUGACGCCUGCCCGGUGCUGGAAGGUUAAGAGGAGAGGUUAGACGCAAGUCGAAGCUUUGAAUUUAAGCCCCAGUAAACGGCGGCCGUAACAAUAACGGUCCUAAGGUAGCGAAAUUCCUUGUCGGGUAAGUUCCGACCCGCACGAAAGGCGUAAUGAUUUGAGCGCCGUCUCGGCAAUACAUCCGGUGAAAUUGAAGUGCCAGUGAAGAUGCUGGCUACCCGCGCCAGGACGGAAAGACCCCAUGGAGCUUUACUCCAGUUUGGCACUGGGGUCCGGUGUUGCAUGUACAGGAUAGGUGGGAGGCUGAGAGAUAAUGACGUCAGUUGCUAUGGAGCCGCUGUUGGGAUACCACCCUUGUGAUAUUGGGCUUCUAACCAGCCGCCGUAAACCGGCGGUGGGACAAUGCCAGGCGGGGAGUUUGACUGGGGCGGUCGCCUCCGAAAGGGUAUCGGAGGCGCCCAAAGGUUCCCUCAGAAUGGACGGAAACCAUUCGAAGAGUGCAAAGGCAGAAGGGAGCUUGACUGCGACACCGACGGGUGGAGCAGGCACGAAAGUAGGGCUUAGUGAUCCGGUGGUAUUAAGUGGGAAUGCCAUCGCUCAACGGAUAAAAGCUACCCUGGAUAACAGGCUUAUCACUCCCAAGAGUUCACAUCGACGGAGUGGUUUGGCACCUCGAUGUCGGCUCAUCGCAUCCUGGGGCUGUAGUAGGUCCCAAGGGUUGGGCUGUUCGCCCAUUAAAGCGGUACGCGAGCUGGGUUCAGAACGUCGUGAGACAGUUCGGUCCCUAUCCGGCGUGGGCGCAGGAUAUCUGAGAGGAGCUGUCCUUAGUACGAGAGGACCGGGAUGGACGGACCGCUGGUGGACCGGUUGGCUUGCCAAAGCCAUGGCCGGGUAGUCAAGUCCGGAAGGGAUAAACGCUGAAGGCAUCUAAGCGUGAAGCCCCCCUCAAGAUGAGAUAUCCCAUUCUUUAAGAAGUAAACCCCCUUGUAGACGACGAGGUAGAUAGGGCAGAGGUGGAAGUGUGGUAACACAUGGAGCUGACUGUUACUAAUCGGGUGAGGGCUUGACCGG
RNAcentral lists this ribosomal RNA (1389 nucleotides) under metagenome. RNAcentral's name for it is "bacterial LSU rRNA". It matches the Rfam family "Bacterial large subunit ribosomal RNA", at positions 1519 to 2925 of the family's 2925-position model. The record is from RNAcentral.